RNAcentral lists this long non-coding RNA (1253 nucleotides) under Betta splendens (Siamese fighting fish). Its description in RNAcentral is "lncRNA (ENSBSLG00000015356.1)". The record is from RNAcentral. Lineage: Eukaryota; Metazoa; Chordata; Actinopteri; Anabantiformes; Osphronemidae.
CAAUUCAGUCCUAAUUUUCUUAGCUGAGCUGUAACCUGUUUUAGUUGACGCACACAUCAUCCAGGCGCACGGGCCGCAGCAUCUGCAACCCCGCUGAUAAAGCGGACAGGUGUGGGAGCAGCUGCCGGGCCGCUGCACCUUCUCAGGCACUUACGUGUCGGUGUUGGUCCACAUCCACGUGCAGGACACGGCUUCUCCGCUGGGCUCGAGACAAACACAGAAGUCUGCGUUCUGCAGUGAAACAGCAUUUUGAACAGGUGGACAGAAACCAGUGGAUGCAGCGGGUGAGGCUGGGCAGCAUCACAUCUGGCACCAUCAGCACCAGCGCACUGCAGGGAUGUGUCCCCCCACUGCUCGUCUCCCUCUAUACCAACAGGAGGUGGAGCAGCAGGUCCAGUGGUGCAGUCAGAACCAGCUGGAGCUCAACGCGCUCAAAACUGUGGAGAUGACGGUGGACCCCCCCCGACCAUCCACAACAACACAGUGUCUACCGUGGACUCAUUCAGGUUCCUAGGGUCCACAAUCUCCAGGACCUGAAGUGGGACCUACAUAGACACUGUCCACAGAAAGGCCCAGCAGAGGUUGUCUUCCUGAGACAGCUCCUUCUACUCUAUACAGCUUCCUUCUAUUGAGCGUCUGUACCGGGCCAGACUCAAAGAACGGGCAGCAAGCAUCACUGCUGACUCCACACACCCCACACAGAGUUAUAGCCACCAGAACCAUCAGAACCAACAGAACCACCAGACACAGACUUGGUACCAGUCAGCUUCUUCCCACAGGCUGUUUCUGAGCUGAACUCUACCGGUCACACAAUACAAUGACUCAAUGACACAAACACAAAUGUGCAAUAACCACUGUUGAAUGUGACACAGCAAGCUGCAGUUUAUAUUCUUUAUUUGUUCAUUUUUGUAAAUAACUAUAAUGAAAAUUGUAAUUAGUUUGACGGAGUCAGACCUGAAUCCUGUGCAAACUUGGCCAUUAAAGCUGAUUUUGAUUCUGAGUUACUUUAGUUUCUGCACCAUUUUGGAUGACAACCACCAGGUUUGUCCAACUCUGGAACUACUAUUGAUGAGAAUCUCCAUAGCAAGUCCAGUGAUGGGAAGCCACAGGGAUUGGCUUUAGGCACCAUAUCAUAGUUUGUAUCACAUCCGAGAUCCAACCAAUAUCUUUUCGGACUUCACCAGUGAGGAAGUUUCAAACCGCUACGACUUCCUGUCACAGGCGUUUCUCAGCCACAGAGACACUCAUAAAAC